This 286-nucleotide long non-coding RNA is filed under the name Canis lupus familiaris (dog). Its description in RNAcentral is "lncRNA (ENSCAFG00000054391.1)". Lineage: Eukaryota; Metazoa; Chordata; Mammalia; Carnivora; Canidae. The record is from RNAcentral.
AUGACUCUUCAUUUUGCACAAGCUGUUUCUUCCACCUGGAAUGCACUCUCCGGAUCACUCCUGCAAGGAGAGAAUACCGGUGCUGCUGUGCUUCUGGCCUGUGCUGCUUUGCUGUCUUACUACACAUUAGAACCCUGUAAAUUUUCCAAGAUCACCAAGGUGGUAAGUGUUGAUAUUCAAACCCUAGUCUUUUUUUAUUCCAAAUCUUGUGUUUUAAUCCCAAUCCUCAGGGGUUGCUGAAAGAUGAUUGGAUCAAAGUAUUCAUCCAACUAAAAACAUCAUUUCA